GACGAACGCUGGCGGCGUGCUUAACACAUGCAAGUCGAACGGUGAAAGGGAGCUUGCUCCCUGGAUCAGUGGCGAACGGGUGAGUAACACGUGGGCAACCUGCCCCAGACUUCGGGAUAACGCUUCGAAAGAGGUGCUAAUACCGGAUACGAACUCCUUGGGCAUCCUUGGAGUUGGAAAGUUUUUCGGUCUGGGAUGGGCCCGCGGCCUAUCAGCUUGUUGGUGAGGUAACGGCUCACCAAGGCGACGACGGGUAGCCGGCCUGAGAGGGCGACCGGCCACACUGGGACUGAGACACGGCCCAGACUCCUACGGGAGGCAGCAGUGGGGAAUAUUGCGCAAUGGGCGAAAGCCUGACGCAGCAACGCCGCGUGAGGGAUGACGGCCUUCGGGUUGUAAAGCGCUGUCAGUGGGGAAGAAGAUCUGACGGUACCCACAGAGGAAGCCCCGGCUAAUUACGUGCCAGCAGCCGCCGUAA
Molecule: ribosomal RNA, 478 nt
Filed under: uncultured bacterium
Lineage: Bacteria
Description: partial 16S ribosomal RNA
Rfam family: Bacterial small subunit ribosomal RNA
Source: RNAcentral